GACGAACGCUGGCGGCGUGCCUAACACAUGCAAGUCGAACGAAGAGCGACGGAAGCUUGCUUCUAUCAAUCUUAGUGGCGAACGGGUGAGUAACGCGUAAUCAACCUGCCCUUCAGAGGGGGACAACAGUUGGAAACGACUGCUAAUACCGCAUACGAUCUAACCUCGGCAUCGAGGAUAGAUGAAAGGUGGCCUCUACAUGUAAGCUAUCACUGAAGGAGGGGAUUGCGUCUGAUUAGCUAGUUGGAGGGGUAACGGCCCACCAAGGCGAUGAUCAGUAGCCGGUCUGAGAGGAUGAACGGCCACAUUGGGACUGAGACACGGCCCAGACUCCUACGGGAGGCAGCAGUGGGGAAUCUUCCGCAAUGGACGAAAGUCUGACGGAGCAACGCCGCGUGAGUGAUGACGGCCUUCGGGUUGUAAAGCUCUGUUAAUCGGGACGAAAGGCCUUCUUGCGAAUAGGGAGAAGGAUUGACGGUACCGGAAUAGAAAGCCACGGCUAACUACGUG
RNAcentral lists this ribosomal RNA (510 nucleotides) under uncultured bacterium. RNAcentral describes it as "partial 16S ribosomal RNA". It matches the Rfam family "Bacterial small subunit ribosomal RNA", at positions 28 to 507 of the family's 1533-position model. The record is from RNAcentral.